GUGGGGAAUCUUGCGCAAUGGGCGAAAGCCUGACGCAGCCAUGCCGCGUGAAUGAUGAAGGUCUUAGGAUUGUAAAAUUCUUUCACCGGGGACGAUAAUGACGGUACCCGGAGAAGAAGCCCCGGCUAACUUCGUGCCAGCAGCCGCGGUAAUACGAAGGGGGCUAGCGUUGCUCGGAAUUACUGGGCGUAAAGGGCGCGUAGGCGGACAGUUUAGUCAGAGGUGAAAGCCCAGGGCUCAACCAUGGAAUUGCCUUUGAUACUGGCUGUCUUGAGUACGGGAGAGGUGAGUGGAACUCCGAGUGUAGAGGUGAAAUUCGUAGAUAUUCGGAAGAACACCAGUGGCGAAGGCGACUCACUGGCCCGUUACUGACGCUGAGGCGCGAAAGCGUGGGGAGCAAACAGGAUUAGAUACCCGGGUAGUCC
This 425-nucleotide ribosomal RNA is filed under the name uncultured bacterium. RNAcentral describes it as "partial 16S ribosomal RNA". It matches the Rfam family "Bacterial small subunit ribosomal RNA", at positions 354 to 796 of the family's 1533-position model. The record is from RNAcentral.